This 253-nucleotide ribosomal RNA is filed under the name uncultured prokaryote. Its description in RNAcentral is "partial 16S ribosomal RNA". It matches the Rfam family "Bacterial small subunit ribosomal RNA", at positions 524 to 776 of the family's 1533-position model. The record is from RNAcentral.
UACAGAGGGUGCAAGCGUUGUUCGGAAUUAUUGGGCGUAAAGGGCGCGUAGGCGGUGCGGUAAGUCACCUGUGAAAUCUCCGGGCUUAACUCGGAGCCUGCAGGCGAAACUACCGUGCUGGAGUGUGGGAGAGGUGCGUGGAAUUCCCGGUGUAGCGGUGAAAUGCGUAGAUAUGUGGAGGAACACCUGUGGCGAAGGCGCCUUGCUGGCCAAUUUCUGACGCUGAGGCGCGAAAGCGUGGGGAGCAAACAGG